RNAcentral lists this ribosomal RNA (468 nucleotides) under uncultured bacterium. RNAcentral's name for it is "partial 16S ribosomal RNA". It matches the Rfam family "Bacterial small subunit ribosomal RNA", at positions 28 to 507 of the family's 1533-position model. The record is from RNAcentral.
GACGAACGCUGGCGGCGUGCUUAACACAUGCAAGUCGAACGGAAAGGCCCUGCUUUUGUGGGGUGCUCGAGUGGCGAACGGGUGAGUAAAAUGUGAGUAUCCUGCCCUUUACAUUGGGAUAACUUCCGGGAACAGGGGCUCUUACCGGAUAGGAGCUCCUGCUGCAUGGGGGGGGUUGGAGAGAUUCGGUGGUUGGGGAUGGACUCGCGGCUUAUCAGCUUGUUGGUGGGGUAGUGGCUUACCAAGGCGUUGACGGGUAGCCGGCCUGAGAGGGUGACCGGCCACAUUGGGACUGAGAUACGGCCCAGACUCCUACGGGAGGCAGCAGUGGGGAAUAUUGCACAAUGGGCGGAAGCCUGAUGCAGCGACGCCGCGUGCGGGAUGACGGCCUUCGGGUUGUAAACCGCUUUCGGCUGGGAAGAAGCGAGAGUGACGGUAAUUGGUAAAGAAGCACCGGCUAACUACGUG